UAUAUAUAUAUAUAUAAAAGGGGUAGAAAUAUGUUGGAGGCCGAUGCACAUAGGAAGCAGAUGCAUGCAGGAGGGAUGCACGUUGGAUGAAGAACUAGGCAUUUUGAGGGUUAAAUGACUCUUCCUGAGCCGGUCGAUGAGACAGAAAAUUAUAUAUUGGGAACAGGAAAGCAGCUUGGAUUCCACAACUUCAAGAACAAUACUGUGAAUUUAAUUUCAAGCCAAAAAUUAAUGUUAUUAGCCAAUUCCCCCCCAAUGUGUCCUGGGGGAUGGGGUACCCUGUGCACAGAGACAGGCGUGUGUCAGUGUCUGUCUGUCUGUGUUGCACAGGGGCGCCGGGGGUGGGUUGGUUUAAUGUUUCGCUGCUCUAAAACUCAAUUUUCAUCUCUUUUUUUGGUAUUUUGUUGUUUGCUUCCAAUUAGCGGAUCUGGUUUUACUUACGGAAUAGAAAGCAGAACCAGAGAUUAGUUUAACAAGCAGCAGAGUAGGAGGAGAAAUGUGUUGGUAUAGUGAGGGGCUGUUUGUAUAGUGUUGUAUUUUUGCCCAAACUGGUGUACUUGUGUCCCUACUGUUGUAUUUGUAAACCAAACUGGUGUACCUGUGUCCCAACUGUUGUAUUUGUGCCCAAACUGUUGUACCUGUCUCCACAUUGUUGUAUUUGUGCCCAAACGGGUGUACCUGUGUCCCUACUGUUGUAUUUGUGACCAAACUGUUGUACCUGCUUCCCUACUGUUGUGUUAAUGCCCUAAAUGUUGUACCUCUGCCCAUACUGUUAUAUGGGUGGCCAAACUGGUGUACCUGUGUCCCUGCUGCUGUACUUGUGCCCAAACUGUUAUACAUGUCUACACAUUGUUGUAUUUGGGCCCAAACUGGUGUACCUAUGUCCCUACAGUUGUAUUUGUGACCAAACAAUUGUACCCGUGUCUCCAACUGUUGUAUUGGUGCCCAAACUGUUGUACAUGUCUCCACAUUGUUGUAUUUGUGGCCAAACGGGUGUACCUGUGUCCCUACUGUUAUAUUUGUGACCAAACUUUUGUACCUGUUUCCCUACUGUUGUAUUUGUGCCCAAACUGUUGUACCUGUCUCCACAGUGUUGUAUUUGUGCCCAAACGAGUGUACCUGUGUCCCUACUGUUGUAUUUGUGUACAAAGUGUUGCACCUUUGUCUAUACUCUUACUUGAAUGGGUGCCCAAACUCUUGUACUUGUGUCCACACUGUUGUAUUUGUGCCCAAACCGUUGUACCUGUCUCCACGCUGUUGUAUAUGUGGCCAAACGGGUGUACCUGUGUCCCUACUGUUGUAUUUGUGACCAAACUGUUGCACCUGCUUCCCUACUGUUGUAUUUCUGCUCUAACUGUUGUACCUCUGCCCAUACUGUUGUAUGGGUGGCCAAACUGUUGUACCUGUGUCUAUACUCUUGAAUGGGUGCCCACACUCUUGUUCUUGUGUCCACACUGUGGUUGUGUGUUGUAUUUGUGCCCAAACUGUUUAACCUGUCUCCACACUGUUGUAUUUGUAAACCAAACUGGUGUACCUGUGUCCCAACUGUUGUAUUCGUGCCCAAACUGUUUUACCUGUCUCCACACUGUUGUAUUUGUGCCCAAACUGUUUAACCUGUCUCUACACUGUUGUAUUUGUAAACCAAACUGGUGUAUCUGUGUCCCUACUGUUGUAUUUGUGACCAAACUGUUGUACCUGCUUCCCUACUGUUGUAUUUGUGCCCUAAAUGGUGUACCUCUGCCCAUACUCUCGAAUGGGUGCCCACACUUUUGUGCUAGUGUCCACACUGUUAUAUUUGUGCCAAAACUGUUUUAACUGUCUCCACAUUGUUGUAUUUGUGUCCAAACUGGUGUACCUGUGUCCCUACUGUUGUAUUUGUGACCAAACUGUUGUACAUGUCUACACAUUGUUGUAUUUGGGCCCAAACUGGUGUACCUGUGUUCCUACUGUUGUAUUUGUGACCAAACUUUUGUACCUGUUUCCCUAGUGUUGUAUUUGUGCCCAAACGGUUGUGCCUGUUUCUCUUCUGUUGCAUUUGUGACUAAACUUUGUACAUGUUAACUUCCAUUUACAUUUGUGGUCAAACUGUUGUACCUCUUUCCCUACUGUUGUAUAUGUGCCUACACUGUUGUACCUGUUCCCCUACUGUUGCAAUUGUGCCCAUACUCUUGUACCUGUUUCCCUACUGUUGUAUUUGUGCCCAAACUGUUGUACUUGUUUCUCUACUGUUAUAUUUGUGAACAAACUGUUGUACCUCUUUCCCUACUGUUGUAUUUGUGCCCAAACUGUUGUACAUGGUUCCCUACUGUUGUAUUUGUGCCCAAACUUUUGUACCUGUUUCCCUACUUUUGUAUUUGUGCCAAAACUGUUGUACCUGUUUCCCUACUUUUGUAUUUGUGCCCAAACUGUUGUACCUGUUUCCCUACCUGGCCCGGAAUGGCAAUCUGUGGGUUCUGGCAAAUCCCAAAGGGGCUGCUAUAAGGUGCCAUAGAAAGUCAGUAUUUAGUGGGCUGGUGGGGGCUGUAUGGGCCUCUGUAAGGGCUGAUUGGGCCUCUGUAUACCCGAAAUGCCAUGGCCUAUUUUCAUUCUCAGUCCGGACCUGUUCCCUACUGUUGUAUUUGUGCCCAAACUGUUGUACCUUUUCCCCUACUGUUGUAUUUGUGCCCAAACGGUUGUGCCUGUUCCCCUACUGUUGCAUCUAUUACCAAACUGUUUUACCUCUUUAUCUACUUUUGUAUUUGUGCCCGAACUGUUGUACCUGUUUCCCUACUGUUGUAUUUGUGCCCACACUGUUGUACCUGUUCCCCUACUGUUGUAUUUGUGCCCGAACUGUUGUACCUGUAUCCCUACUGUUGUAUUUGUGCCCACACUGUUGUACCUGUUCCCCUACUGUUGUCUUUGUGCCCAAACUGUUGUAACCAUUUCCCUACUGUUGUAUUUGUGUCCAAACUGUUGUGCCUGUUUCUCUUCUGUUGCAUUUGUGACUAAACUUUGUACAUGUUACCUUCCAUUUACAUUUGUGACCAAACUUUUGUACCUCUUUCCCUACUGUUGUAUUUGUGCCCACACUGUUGUACCUGUUCCCCUACUGUUACAAUUGUGCCCAAACUGUUGUACCUGUUUCCCUACUGUUGUAUUUGUGACCAAACUGUUGUACCUGUUUCUCUACUCUUGUAUUUGUGCCCAAACUGCUGUACAUUUUCUCUACUGUUGCAUUUGUGACCAAACUGUUGUACUUCUUUCUCUACUGUUGUAUUUGUGACCAAACUGUUUUACCAUUUUCUCUACUGUUAUAUUUGUGACCAAACUGUUGUACCUUUUUCCCUACUGUUGUAUUUGUGCCCAAACUGUUGUACAUGGUUCCCUACUGUUGUAUUUGUGCCCAAACUUUUGUACCUGUUUCCCUACUGUUGUAUUUGUGCCCAAAUGUUUGUGCCUGUUUCCCUACUGUUGUAUUUGUGCCCAAACUGUUGUACCUGUUUCUCUACUCUUGUAUUUGUGCCCAAACUGCUGUACAUUUUCUCUACUGUUGCAUUUGUGACCAAACUGUUGUACUUCUUUCUCUACUGUUGUAUUUGUGACCAAACUGUUUUACCAUUUUCUCUACUGUUAUAUUUGUGACCAAACUGUUGUACCUUUUUCCCUACUGUUGUAUUUGUGCCCAAACUGUUGUACAUGGUUCCCUACUGUUGUAUUUGUGCCAAAACUUUUGUACCUGUUUCCCUACUGUUGUAUUUGUGCCCAAAUGGUUGUGCCUGUUUCCCUACUGUUGUAUUUGUGCCCAAACUGAUGUACCUGUUUCCCUACCUGGCGCGGAAUGGCAAUCUGUGGGUUCUGGCAAAUCCCAAAGGGGCUGCUAUAAGGUGCCAUAGAAAGUCAGUAUUUAGUGGGCUGGUGGGGGCUGUUUGGGCCUCUGUAAGGGCUGAUUGGGCCUCUGUAUACCUGAAAUGCCAGGGCCUAUUUUAAUUCUCAGUCCGGACCUGUUCCCUACUGUUGUAUUUGUGCCCAAACUGUUGUACCUUUUCCCCUACUGUUGUAUUUGUGCCCAAAUGGUUGUGCCUGUUUCUCUACUGUUGUAUUUGUGCCCAAACUGAUGUACCUCUUUCCCUACUGUUUUAUUUAUGUCCUUACUGUUGUACCUCUGUCAAUAGUGCUGAAUGGGUGCUCAAAUUGUUGUACCUGUGUUCCUGAUGUUGUAUUUGUGGCCACACUGUUCUACCUGUGUCAGGGAAUGGGAAAAGACGGAUCAAUAUGUGUUAUAAGAUUGUGAGGGGAGGUGAUUGGUUUACUGAGUAAAGAUGACUGCUGAACAGUGAGAGAGUGAACAUUUAAGUAAAGCAAUGAAUAUUAUUAUUAACAUGUAUUUAUAUAGCGCCAACAUAUUGCGUAGCAAUAUAUGAGAGGAAACAAGACACUGGACAGUCGUUUGAAAACUUUUAUUUCCCAGAUACACAAGGAUGAUCCUCUUGCGUUGUAUACUGACAUACUUGUGCACACGCUCAUAGAGCUUGGGGUGAGUAUUGGCACUGAGCAGGGCCAUAAUCAGUAUUCAUGUGACCCCAUGCCCUACUAAUUUAACUGUGUCUCCCUCCCAGGGGGCCCGGUUAUUAUUACCUAUCAUCUGGGCCCCUGGGCUGUGGGCCUGAUUAACAAGUAUAAAAGAAAAUGAAGGCCCCGUGCACACCAGACCCUGAACUGCCCCAGACAGACCCCAUUAUGCUGAAACCAAACCCACAAUGUACCCAUACCCCACAAGCUCCAUCCCUUUGCACUCUACAACCUGACCCUUCAUAUCUAUUGGGGGCCCCUCUGCCGCAGGGCCUGACUGUAGUAACCCUUGACUCCCCCUGAAGGCAGAUCUGGCGCUCAAUAUGCCUUUGUGUGUGAUAAUACCCCUGAUCUCCAUCAUUUGCCCCAGCGUGGGAUCUGUGGUACAAUAAUGUCCCUGAUCUCCAUCAUUUGCCCCAGCAUGGGAUCUGUGGUACAAUAAUGUCCCUGAUCUCCAUCAUUUGCCCCAGCAUGGGAUCUAUUUAAUAAAAAUAGAAACACUUUUCAAGAAAGUCAAAUUUUCUUUAUGUAAAAAUACAAAAAAAUAUAAAACACAAUUAACAUGUGACUCCAGGUCAUUACACUACAGAGUGGGGGACUGCCUCUCUGCUCUUCUUCCUCAGGUCUCUGCCCGGAGUGAAUGGGGAUUCAGGAUUAUGUUGGUCAUGUGGACGGGUGAAGGUGGAUCCCAUAAUUACUUACCUGCUGUACCUGACUGCUGGCAUCAUUGAGUGAAUAUUUUAGGUAUACUAUUUGACCAAUGCUGCACUGUAUGUGGCAAAACAUGGAGUAGCGCAAUCAAAGAUAUUUGCAGGUAAGAGGUUAAGAUGAAACCCCUUGUGCACUGAGCAUAAUGUAGAUUUAAACAUUACAGUAGGAGCUGUCAUACUAGUGUUAUCAUUUAGGACAUUGAACCCUGGCGUUUAUGUUUUGCAGGAAGCUGAAUGCCGAGGUGUGUGUCACCCCACUGCUACUUAUAUUCCGGAAAGUCGCUGAAAGUCACCUCAAGGAAGCCACCAAAUGGAGACGAAAGCCACCAAUUGGAGCUAAAGAUGCCGAAAGGAGUUGAUGUUUCCGAAUGGAGCUGAAGAAGAGGAGAAUGAAAAAGACCUUUAAAGAUUUUUGCUGCGUGUAUAUACCAGCGAGUGCACUGAGCAUCCAGCCAUCAAGCCAUGAAGUGGAAUGGUGGGAAGGUCCCAGGAAUAACCAUUAUAAACACAAUCUUUAGGCCAUUAACCCAGUGUGAGAAUGCUUGGUGGAGAAUCCAUACCUGCAGGAGGAUUGCUGUGUUUAACUCACAGCCAGACCCACAUCUUCUCAACGAUGGAGUAUGCAAGUGGAGGAAGCCUUGAGAUGGAGAUCAGCAAGAGGUGACACCUGAAAAUGAGGAAAGUGAUGUGAGUAUUUUAUGCAGAAAGAUUAGGUACAGUGGGUAAAAAGUACUUCAAACUGACAUGCAAUAUUCCACCAUGUAUUUUAGCUGCCCAAAACUCUCCACAUUCCAUUACAAUGUAAGGUUCAUGUGCUCCCCUAUGGCACAUCUGCACAGCAAGAUGAAUGUGACUUUUCAAGAGAUAUUCACUCAUAGCGCCUUUCCCAUACACCACAAUGGCACCUGCUCACUAGUGGCUUUGAUAGGUAUUGCAUUAAGUGCUGUAUAAUGUAUUCGUUUCUCACGUACAAGCUACUCAAGAUAACAUUUCAGUUGUGUUAUCCAUGACAAUUAUACCAAUUACAGUGAGCCCUAAGGGACAUGUGACUUAAUUUGUUAUACACUAUAGCAACUACUAACGCCAAAUUCUAAGCAUCUGAGGUUCACAAAAUAUUGUAUUUUGAAAAGCUUCUACUGGUCAGAGAUGAUUUGUGGACUGCAUGAUCUACAUUUCCAUGGCAUUAUCCAUCGGUAAGUAAAAUUAUGUGUGUUCUCUAGAAACAUAUGGAUAUAACAUUGUAUCUAGCCAUGGGUCUAACCCUCCUGCUGAUAUGGGACCUGUGUUCCACAAGCAGCAAAUUAUAUUACUACAAUUAAUUAUAUUAUUUAAUUAUACCAGA
This is a long non-coding RNA of Xenopus laevis (African clawed frog), 6600 nucleotides long. RefSeq lists it as uncharacterized. The transcript has 4 exons. Lineage: Eukaryota; Metazoa; Chordata; Amphibia; Anura; Pipidae. The record is from RefSeq and is a predicted model, not a curated record.